This 770-nucleotide long non-coding RNA is filed under the name Homo sapiens (human). RNAcentral's name for it is "HSALNT0284020". Lineage: Eukaryota; Metazoa; Chordata; Mammalia; Primates; Hominidae. The record is from RNAcentral.
ACUCUGUGGUGGCAUUCGCGUCUGCGAGCUCCGGAGUGACUUUCCCUUCCUGUGAAGGCAAUCCGGCCCUUUCCGGUGGAGGACCCUUCCCCCUGGGUUGAUCUUGAGGAACUUAAGAGACGGUGUUUUGACUCGACUCCUUUCCCCUUUUUCCUCCCGGUGAGAUCCAGACCUUCUUAGAGAGAACACAGCCAGUGGAGAGUCACUCUAUGGCAGGAAAUAUUCUGUAUUGCCUUACAGGCAGAACUUGCUGAAACUCCAACCUCUGGAAAUUACUGGAACCCUGCAUUCUAGAACUUGCUGGAAACCCACCCUCUGGAAUUGGCCUGCUAGAGUGCCUGAGAAGGAUGUUCAUAGGGAAAUGUUUCAGCAGAGGAACUCUACUACAAAAACCACAAGAGGGAGGGUGCCAGGGGAAGUGGCCUGGUGCUAUUGAAACUGCAACACAGAAGCCAGCCACUGGAGAGAGCUGCACAAGCUGCAGGAACACCCUACCCAGUAAGCCGGCCAGAAGGAGGGAGCAAAACCUUUUCUCUCUGCAACAUCUUUCCAGUUUCCUCUACUGGAAAAGCUUCAUUGCCAGCUGACAAAAGGAAAAAUACUUAAAUGGAUCAGAUCCAUUUUCACAGAGCAGUCAAUAAUGGUGAAUUUGGAGAUGAUAAGCAACAAAUUGAUGAACUGGCACAACUUCCCUGCUACUUUCUUGAUUGUAAUGCCUAGAUAGGGAAUAGGAAAGUUAUUGAAAUGUAUGUGUUCCCAUGAAAUGUGUU